This 443-nucleotide ribosomal RNA is filed under the name uncultured bacterium. RNAcentral's name for it is "partial 16S ribosomal RNA". It matches the Rfam family "Bacterial small subunit ribosomal RNA", at positions 338 to 795 of the family's 1533-position model. The record is from RNAcentral.
CCUACGGGGGGCUGCAGUGGGGAAUAUUGGGCAAUGGGCGCAAGCCUGACCCAGCAACGCCGCGUGAAGGAAGAAGGCUUUCGGGUUGUAAACUUCUUUUAUGGGGGACGAAAGAAAUGACGGUACCACAUGAGUAAGCCACGGCUAACUCCGUGCCAGCAGCCGCGGUAAUCCGUGGGUGGCAAGCGUUAACCGGAUGUACUGGGUGUAAAGGGCGGGGAGGCGGGACUGCAAGUCAGAUGUGAAAAUUAUGGGCUCAACCCAUAACCUGCAUUUGAAACUGUAGUUCUUGAGUGAUGGAGAGGCAGGCAGAAUUCCGGGUGUAGCGGUGAAAUGCGUAGAGAUACGGAGGAACACCAGUGGCGAAGGCGGCCUGCUGGACAUUAACUGACGCUGAGGCGCGAAAGCGUGGGGAGCAAACAGGAUUAGAUACCCCAGUAGUC